GAAUGCGAUAGUUAAUGGAUGUUUUGAUAUUUAGAUUGCGAGUUGAAUGCCGUUGGAUCACUAGAAAGAAAAUAGUUGAUUGCCACCGAGACUACCAUUUAGUGACCCAAGUGCCGACUGUUGACAGAAGUCAUUCAUCUCAGAGCUACCGACCGGCCUAAAAGAGAGGAAGAAAGCCAUCAGGAAAUUCAUCUAGAGUGAAGGAGAAACUUUUAAUCUUUGAGUAAAUUUUAUAUUGAACUACAAGGAUUCGUUUUUGCCUGAGCCUGAGAAUUCCGAGAGCAACAAACUGUUUUCCAUUUU
Uranotaenia lowii is the source of this 303-nucleotide long non-coding RNA. RefSeq lists it as uncharacterized. The record is from RefSeq and is a predicted model, not a curated record. The transcript is spliced from 4 exons. Lineage: Eukaryota; Metazoa; Arthropoda; Insecta; Diptera; Culicidae.